AGGCAGCCUAAUGAGGAACACUGUCCGCA
This 29-nucleotide non-coding RNA is filed under the name Homo sapiens (human). Lineage: Eukaryota; Metazoa; Chordata; Mammalia; Primates; Hominidae. The record is from RNAcentral.